Molecule: ribosomal RNA, 1952 nt
Filed under: human gut metagenome
Description: bacterial LSU rRNA
Rfam family: Bacterial large subunit ribosomal RNA
Source: RNAcentral
UCAAGCUAAUAAGAGCACAGGGUGGAUGCCCAGGCACCAAACGCCGAUGAAAGACGUGGCAAGCUGCGAAAAGUCACGGGGAACCGCAAGCAGGUAUUGAUCCGUGAACGUCUGAAUGGGGAAACCCGGCGGGUUAACAGCCCGUCACUAUUAACUGAAUCAAUAGGUUAAUAGAGGGAACGCGGGGAACUGAAACAUCUCAGUACCCGUAGGAAGAGAAAAUAAAGAAUGAUUUCCUAAGUAGCGGCGAGCGAACGGGAAAGAGGCCAAACCGAAGGGCUUGCUCUUCGGGGUUGUGGAUCAGCAAAAAGGACGGAAGACCUUAGCAGAAGAGGAUUGGAAAGUCCCGCCAGAGAGGGUAAAAGCCCCUUACGCGAAAAGGUCAAACGACGAGCUGACACCAGAGUACCGCAGGACACGAGAAAUCCGGUGGGAAGCCGGGAGGACCACCUCCCAAGCCUAAAUACGAAUUGGUGACCGAUAGCGCAUAGUACCGUGAGGGAAAGGUGAAAAGAACCCCGGGAGGGGAGUGAAAAAGAACCUGAAACCCUGUGUUUACAAGCAGUGAAAGUGCGAGCAAGGCACGAUCACGUACUUUUUGUAGAACGGACCGGCGAGUUACGUUAUGCAGCAAGGUUAAGAACUGAAGGUUCGGAGCCGAAGCGAAAGCGAGUCUGAAUAGGGCGAUAGUUGCAUGACGUAGACCCGAAACCGGGUGACCUAUCCAUGAGCAGGUUGAAGUGGAGGUAAAGCUCCAUGGAGGACCGAACCAGACGUCUGUUGAAAAAGGCGGGGAUGACUUGUGGAUAGGGGAGAAAUUCCAAUCGAACCCGGAGAUAGCUGGUUCUCCUCGAAAUAGCUUUAGGGCUAGCCUCAUGGAUCAUUGGUGGGGGUAGAGCACUGAAUGUGCGCGGGGGCCACAAAGCCUACCAAACGCUAUCAAACUACGAAUACCAUACAAUGCAGACCAUGGGAGUCAGUCCGCGAGAGAUAAGUUCCGCGGGCAAAAGGGGAACACCCCAGAUCAACCGCUAAGGUCCCCAAGUUCACGUUAAGUGGAGAAGGAUGUGGAAUUGCACAGACAACCAGGAUGUUGGCUCAGAAGCAGCCACACAUUUAAAGAGUGCGUAAUAGCUCACUGGUCGAGUGAUUGUGCGCCGAAGAUGUCCGGGGCUAAACGUGACACCGAAGCGAUGGGUGCAUCUGAAGAAGAUGCGCGGUAGAGGAGCAAUGUGCAGAGGCAGAAGCCGUAUCGAGAGGCACGGUGGACACUGCACAAGAGAGAAUGCCGGUAUGAGUAGCGAGAGGCAUGCGAGAAACAUGCCCGUCGAAAGCCCAAGGUUUCCUGGGGAAGGUUCAUCCGCCCAGGGUAAGUCGGGGCCUAAGCCGAGGACGGAAGUCGUAGGCGAUGGACAGCAGGUGUAGAUUCCUGCACUACCGAUGGAAUGAAGCAGUGACACAGAAGGAUAACUCGAGCAGGGUGAUGGUCAACCCUGUGCAAGCAUCAAGGUUGGGUUGUAGUGAAGUACGCAAUCCUAUAAGCUGAGGUGUGAUGCGGACCGAAAUUUCAGUAGGGAAGCGAGUGAGUUCACGCUGGCGAGAAAAGCUGCUAGUACAUCCAAAGGUACCCGUACCGGAAACCGACGCAGGUGGGCGAGGAGAGAAUCCUGAGACGAACGGGAGAACCCUUGUUAAGGAACUCGGCAAAAUGACCCCGUAACUUCGGGAUAAGGGGUGCCUGCGAGAGCAGGCCGCAGAGAAUAGUCACAAGCGACUGUUUAGCAAAAACACAGGUAUCUGCGAAAGCGAGAGCUGACGUAUAGGUGCUGACACCUGCCCGGUGCUGGAAGGUUAAGGGAACAUGUUAGAGCAAUCGAAGCAUCGAACCGAAGCCCCAGUAAACGGCGGCCGUAACUAUAACGGUCCUAAGGUAGCGAAAUUCCUUGUCGGGU